This 392-nucleotide ribosomal RNA is filed under the name Rhynchotermes perarmatus. RNAcentral's name for it is "partial 16S ribosomal RNA". Lineage: Eukaryota; Metazoa; Arthropoda; Insecta; Blattodea; Termitidae. The record is from RNAcentral.
CAAAAACAUCUUUUCUUGUUAGUUUUUGAAGUAUGGCCUGCCCACUGACAUUUAAGUUGAAGGGCCGCGGUAUUUUGACCGUGCAAAGGUAGCAUAAUCAUUAGUUCUUUAAUUGUGAUCUGGUAUGAAUGGCUUGACGAGAUAUAAACUGUCUUAGAGGUAUUUGUUGAAAUUGGGGUUUGAGUUAAAAUUCUUAAAUGUUUUUAUGGGACGAGAAGACCCUAUAGAGUUUGACAUUUGUUUUUCUAUAUUUUAUUGUUUGUUUUUAUUUAUUAGUUGAAUAAGUGUUUUGUUGGGGUGAUGGGAGGAAUUUAUUUAACUCCUCUUUAUUUUUGUAUAUUUAUGUAUGUGUGUUUGAUCCAUUUAUUUUGAUUAUAAAAUUAAAUUACCUU